Cercocebus atys (sooty mangabey) is the source of this 1129-nucleotide long non-coding RNA. RefSeq lists it as uncharacterized. NCBI's taxonomy places the organism in Eukaryota, Metazoa, Chordata, Mammalia, Primates, Cercopithecidae. The transcript is spliced from 2 exons. The record is from RefSeq and is a predicted model, not a curated record.
AUUGUUUCUUGUUUUGGAAGGUGUUCCGAUAAAUAAAAAGUUAAAAGAUUUGCCAACAAAUACGAGAACAAAUAUACCAUUUGGAGGGGAUCAACCACCAUACAUAUCCAACGCCCAAGGAAACAACAACUAAUUUUGCCACCAACUUACAAAGAUCAAUGAAUACAGAAUUCAGAGAGAAAGUGUGAUAUUAUUUUCUCAAAGGCAUAAUGAAAAAUUUCCAAACUCCAACAUCUUGGCAGACAAUGGCUCAGACAAUGGCUGAACUGAAUACUCAAAACCCCAGGAACAAUGGGCCACAGAUGCAGAAAGGGCCCUGGGUGGUCAGGCUUGUGGCGGGGUGACAGCUUGCCAACCAGCAAGGGCCCCUCUGAAGAGUUCUGCAGUUGUGUUCCUUCUUCCUCAGGAUUUAGGUCACAGGAGAUUGUCCUGCUUUAAACCACCAAGCUUCAAACCACUUCCAAAGUUGUCAAUGCCUGGAGGAACUCCAGUCUUUGUCUGUGGUAGAGCAGACAAAGCUGACAGGAAGUUGGAAAGCAUAUUUUAUUACAUAUGUAUUUGUUUUUUGACAGGAUGGAAGGCAAAGGUUGUUGAUGUUAUGAAUGUCUGUUUCACAGAACUAAAUGUGAACAGUUUUAUUAAGGAGAUGGCUCAUCCCAGGGUAAAGACAGCAACAGAUGAUAUAGAGAAGAUUACACCAAGCAAACCUGCUGUAAACUGCAUUUACCUUUAGAAGAUGAUAAACUAAAAAUGAAGGGAAGGGAUAAUGAAUGAAUGUUAAGAGCUAAAAACUAUAAAACGCUUAGAAGAAAAUAUAGCAGUAAAUCAACACAAUCUCGGAUUAGGCAACAGUUUCUCAGAUACCUCAUCAAAAGCACAAGUGACAAAAUAAAAAAAUAGAUAAAUUGGACUUCAUCAAAGUAAAACUUUUGCAUUCCAAAGAAUACCAUCAAGAAAGUAAAAAGACAACCCACAAAAUGGGAGAAAAUAUUUGCAAAUCAUGUAUCUUAAGAGAAUUGUAGCCAGAAUAUAAAAACUCUCACAACUCAACAAUAAAAAAACAAAUAACUCAAUUUUGAAAGUGGACAAAGGGAUAGACCUACAAAUGCUCAAUAAACACACGAAAAGA